GCUCUUUGCACAUUUUUUGCAAACAACCCUGGAAAGUUGAGCCCCAGCCUGGCAGUGUUCACUCCACUGUGGCCGCCAGCUCUGCCGUUGUCCCAGGGUCACAGUGCAUGUUCAACUUGGAUAAAAUAUAUAAAGUUGAGGGCUGUUUAAACAUAGCGAAAGUAGACUUCAGUGCCUUAACCUGAAAGGGAGAGGAGUUUCACAUUUCUUUCAUGAAGCUAAUGCACUCAAACAGAACUUUACUUGGAGAGAAAAAUGGCUCCCUAUUUUCCCACUAGUAAUUUUCCCCCAUCUUCUUCCUUUUUUAUUUUUAGCCUGAAGAACUCGAAAUGGCUAGAGUCUCUGGAAGGGAAAGAGGAAGGACUUACCUGCGCCAGCCCAGUGAAGAGAAGAGUGGAACAGAGGAGCCCCUGCAUGUCGCUGGGAUGCAGCUGGCCUUAGAGAUGGGAAAGUGGGGGCUCCUCAUGCUGGGGACACACAAAGCUUCCCUGUCUUCUCUGAAGGAGCCGCCUCCACCUCCGGGCACUGGCUUCCACACUGGCUUUCCUUUCAGUACCCUGCUUACUUUCAUGUGUCUCUUCCAGAAAUACCUUCACAGCUAGGAUGAAGUGUGUCAGGAGAGGGCCAGGGCUUUCCUCCAGGGAUUCAAGGGCAGAUCCAGCGAUGGCUUUUCUUUAAGUAAAUGUGCUCACUUUUCCGGAGAUCAGAGUCUGCCCUUGGGCAAAAUGGAGGCAUUACUUUCCAUUCCUGGCCCUCUGCCUCUCCUCUGUGAUUUCCCUGCUCCAGCUCCUCUCUGGGCUGCUUUCCUUCCUCCUUUGCCCUCAAGCAGAGGGCUAGCCUGGUCUCUCCGCUUCCUGCCUCAUCACAGCCUGGCCCUGUUGAUGGGUUUCUCACUUCCCAUCAACAACCAAUUUCUAAAAGGCCAUUUCUGAUUCGCCAGCUGUUGACUUUCGGACGUUUCCACAUGCUCUGCAUUAAACACAAUCCUCACACCAGGUGGACCAUGAUUGGAAAGGAAAAACCCAGCCUGAGAAAAGCUACUUUCUGUGGCCACAAUUCCAUGGCAAAUAAAAGUAAAGCUAACUCCAAUCUUCCCAAGCCUAUGAUCAAACGUUUGUGCUAGUAACAGUCAUUUGGAUUAAAGUUUUGUUUUAAAAACUUAUUACAAG
Molecule: long non-coding RNA, 1169 nt
Filed under: Marmota monax (woodchuck)
Lineage: Eukaryota; Metazoa; Chordata; Mammalia; Rodentia; Sciuridae
Source: RNAcentral